AGCUGGACAGCGGUGCCGUAGGCGGAGGCGUUGACGGGCACGCCGAACAGGCGCAGGUAGUCCUUGUUGGUGUUGGCCAGGUCGGCCACGCUCUUCAGGUCCCACACCGAGGCCAGCGCGGUCACGGGCGACAGGACCAGGCCGGUCAGGCCGGCGGGCAGCGUGGAGGCCACCGUGUCGUCCGUGUACACGGCGCCGGUGACCGCGUCCUUGCAAGAGCCCUUGUAGGAGGCGUCCUUGCCGGCGUAGCUGGCCAUGCCGCUGUGGGAGGGAAGAAGAGGGAGGGAGAGAUGAUAAGUACAUGCGCACAACAUUGUCCUGUGCAAUGGCAAUAGCAGGAGAACUCUCCAGUAAAGCAACCCUAUUCACAAAGCAAGUACUCACGUGAAGUUGCCCGCGGUGGUGGUGACGGUGAGGUCGCCAAUUAGCACGUUGCAGGACAGCGGGCCGGUGGCCAGACCGCGGGCCGAGUAGUUGGCGGUCGACAGCGGCGGCGAGGGGGGAGGCGAGGGCGCGGGCGACGGGGGAGGCGAGGGCGGGGGCGAGGGCACGGUGAUGAGCGCGGGUGAGGGGCGGGGCACGUAGGCCGGGCCGGUGGCGCUGCCGGCACGCAGCACGGUCUGGCUGACAGCCACAUCCACCGUGUCACCAGCCAUGGGCUUGUAGGUGGCGGCGGCGGUGAGCGUGAGGCUCAGGCCGUCGGCGCUGACGGCGCAGGCCGACAGAGGGCUGGCGACGGCGCUGCCGUUGCGGGCAAUGACCACGGCGGCAUUGCAGUCGGCGGCAGCGGUGCUGGUGAGGACCGAGGCGGUGGGCAGGGCGACGGUGACGAUGGUGGCGUUGGUGAGCGUGGCGGACACGAUGUUGGGGGUGACCAGCACGCCGGCCUUGGAGGGCACGUAGGCGGUGGUGCCGUCAGCCAGGGUCAGGGCCCUCUGGCCGGGCACGAUGUUCAGCACAUCGCCGCCCACAAACGAGGCCGCGGGGAUGGUCACCGCCAGCGUCACGCCGUCGGCGCCCAGGCUGCAGCUGCUCACGUUCUUGGCCACGCCGCCCGCACCCAGCAGCGCCAGCACCGCCUUGCAGUCGGCGCCAGUGGCCAGGGCGCUGGCGAAGGGCAGGCGCACAGUGAUGGCGGUGGCGGAGGUCAGGUUGGCGUUGGCGAACAGCGCGGGGUUCACCACCUGCGCCGCCAGCUUGGGCACGUAGCUGGGGCCGGUGGCCAGCGCCGAGGAGCGCAGCUCGGCCUGCUCCGGCUUGAUGUUGACGGUGUCGCCGGCGCUGAAGUUGCCAGCCGACAGCAGCUUCACCUGCAGGCCCAGGCGGUCGGGCAUCAGCAUGCAGGACGCCACAGUGCCGUUCUUGGUCACGCCCGCAGCCGUCUUGAACUCAAUGGCGCGCAGGCAGUCGGGGACGGUGAAGUUGUCAGGGAUGGCUGACACAGUCGGCAAGUUCAGCACCACAGUGGACGGGUCGACCAGGGUGGCGGUGGCGACGGUGGCGAAGACCGGCACGUCGGCGGCAGCGGGGUAGUAGGCGGCACCGCUGGCCUGGGGGCCCCAGCGCACGGCUGCGUUUCCGGACUUGAUGUUCAUCACGUCGCCGGCCUUGUAGAUGGGGCUGGCGGUGUUGAGCACCACGCCCUUGGUGUCGGGCGUGAGGGCGCAGCUGGUGAAGGGGUUGACGGCGUCCACACCCGCCACAUCCGUGUAGCGCACCGCGGCGUUGCAGUCGGCAGCGGCCGUGGCGGCGGGCAGGGAGCUGACCGCCGGCAGGCUGAAGGCGACUGAGGUGGGGGCAACCAGGGUAGCCUUGGCACCGAAGGGGCGCGGCGAGAUGGUGGUGGCGGUGGGGUAGGGAACCAGGUUGGUGCCGCCCACGCCGCCCACCUUGGCCGAGGUCUGGUCCUUGACCACAUUAAUUGCGUCGCCGGGCACGUAGGCGUCCGCCGAGCUCAGGGUGAUGGUGACCGAUAGGCCAUCUGGCGCAAGGGCGCAGCUGGCAAUUGGGCUGGUGGUCUUGGUGGUGUUGCCGGCGCCGCUGAACACAAACACGGCGUCGCAGUCGGCCUUGGAGGUGAAGCUGACGGUGGUGACGGCGGCCAUCGUGACCAGCACGGUGGUGGGCGCGGUCAGGAUGGCAUCAUCAAAGUUGGCGUAGAUGGGCUUGGUGGCGCCUGCUGCGCCGCUGGCGUACGCAAUGCUGCCGACCAGGGCGGUGUUGCCGCUCUUGAUCAGGACCUCAUCGCCCGACACGAAUGGCGUGCCGGCGGCCAGCGUCACAACCAGGUAGUAGCCGGUGGCGUCCGAGGCAACCGUGCAGGCGCCUGACACGGUGCGAGUGGUGGUGGGGGUGGCGGAGGCGCGGACGGUGACCACGGUCGAGCAGUCGUUGUCCGUCGCGAUGGAGCUGACCACGGGCAGGGCAACCGACAGGGUGUUGGGGCCGACGGCGUAGGCCGCGUUGAUGAAGCCGGGCGCAAUCACCACGUCAGAGCUGCGCGCGAUGUAGGCCUGGCCCGAGCUGCUGGUGGUGGCCACCAGGUACUUGUCGGUGUUGGCGCUGUCGGUGUUGGAGGCCAGGAUGUUGAUCUUGUCGCCCGCCUGGAAGACCUGGUCAGACGCCAGGGUGACCGUCAAGGUGGUGCUGCCGGAGCUGGACAGGCUGCAGGCGCCGGACGCAGACAGGGCCACGGUGCCGGAGCCGCGCUUGACCGACAGGAUCUUGCCGCACUCGGUCGCGGUCAGCGCAGUGCUGACUGCCGCUCCGCCAGACGUGCUCCAGAUAACACUGGUGACAGGAAGCGUGACCUCAAUGGUGGUGGCGGUGGUUGCCUUGGCCGAGGCGAUGGUGGGCUUGACAAUCAGAGUGCUGCCGACCUUGUAGGCGGGGCCAGUGUCCGAGGCAGCACGCAGCCAGGGCGUGGCCUGGGUGCUCUGCAGCGUCACGGUGUCGCCUGUAGGGAUGCGUUGAAGUGGACCGUGUGAGUUGUGAUGCAAAGACAGCACGACACCAUGCCCAGAGGACACCUGCCCAUGCGCCUGCUGCCCAAGUCCCUGCCUUACCGUCGGCGUAGGCGGUGCCGAGGCUGACGGUGAGCAGCGUCUUGGUGGUGUCCAGGACGCAGGGGGCGGUGACGGUGGAGGAGAUAGUGCGGCCUCCCGUGAGGCUCAGGAUGGCGCCGCACUGAGCGGCGGUGAGGGCGGUGGAGCCGACCGAGCUGGCGGCGGGCAGGGCGACCUCGUACACCAGCGAGUCGAUGGCGGUGGCGGUGUACAGGUUGGGGUCGAUGGUCACCGCUGUGGCCUUGGCCACAAACGCCAGCGAGCCGGCCUUGAGCGGGUUGGUGGUGGCGGCCAGCGAGUUGGCGGCCGCAAUGUUGACCGCGUCAGUGCCGGCGUAGGGCGUGGCCUUGUCCAGGUUCACGGUCAGCGUGGUGCCGGCCACGGAGCAGGGCGAGGUGGCGGCCAGGGUCUUGGCGGGGGUGAAGGUGACAAUCUUGUUGCAGUCGUCCACGGUGGCCGGGGUGGUGGUGAUGGUGCCGGUGGCGGACAGAGUCACCUUGACCUGGGUGGGCGAGGCGGCGGCAGCCGACACAAUCGAAGGGCCAAUGGUGACGACCGCGGCCGAGGCAGCUGCGUUCAGUGUCGCCACAGUGGUGUACUUGGGCGAGGUGUUGGCCACGGCGGCGGCGGUGGCUGCACCGCGCAGGUUGGCGCUGUUGCCAAAGCCGACGUCGAUGCGGUCGCCGGUCGCAUACGAGCUCACGGUUGUGUCGAGGGUCAGGGUGAUUGUGGUGCCGCUGCCGCUGAGGACGCAGGGCGCAACGCCAGCGCCAGGGGCGACCAAGGUCCGCGCGAUGGUGGAGCCGGAGGGGAUGACGCGGAUGACGCUGUCACAGUUGUCCUUGGUGGGCGUGGCGCCGUCGGCAGCAAGAAUCUCAGCGGGGGAGGCAGCCAGGUCGUACAUCUUGACGGGGAAGGGCAGGGUCACCACGAUGGUGUUGGCAGCGGUGGAAGUGGCCGACACGAAGAAGCUGAGCGUGACGGUCACGGCGCUGGCCGAGGGCGUGUACAGGGGCCCAGACAGCUCGUAGCCGGGGCCAACGUCGGACUUCCAGGCGCGCAGCAGGGUCUGGCCCGAUGCAAUGUUGACAGUGUCGCCUGUAAGGUUCACAAGAGGACACUUGCUCAGCACCGGUGCAACGGAGGGAGGCAUGGAUGGCGACUAGAGGCUACACCGACUUCCCAAGCAAUCACUCACCCGGAGCGAAGUCGGCGGCCAGCGUCAGGGUGAGGGUGAGGAAGUCGGACGAGAUGGCGCACGAGGCCACGGACUUGCCGGCAGGCAGCGCCACAAGGCUUGCGCACUGCUGCUGCGUGGGCGCCGAGAUGACGGUGCCGGUGCUGUCGAUCAGCUGGCUGGUCACAGGCAGCGUCACGGCGAUGGUACGGGCACCGGUGGCGGAGGCAGAAACAAUGCGUGGCUCAAUGACCACGGGCAUGCGGCGAGGCACGUACAGCGCCUGGACAUUGGUGCCCACACGCAGCGGCUUGGCAGCGGCAGUGGCGCCAUUCAGACCGGCGUUCUUGUCCCACACGUCGACGGCGUCGCCGGCAGCGUAAGAGGCGCCCAGCUUGAUGGUCAGGAGGGUGUCGCCGGCGCUGGUGGUUCCCAGUAGGCAGGCGGCGCCGCUGAACAGCGUGCGGCAGUUGGAGGGCGUGGCGCAGGCCGAGACGCCGGCGCUGUUGGUCUUGCCGGCCAAGAGCACCGUCAGCACGUCGGCGCACUCUACGUCCGUGAGCGAGGCCACCUUGGUGGCGCUGUUGGUAGCGCCGCUGUAGAAGCUGCUAGUGGCGGGCAGCACCACCGCAAUGGUGGUGCUGUCCACGGUGUAGGCGGACACGAGGGCGGGCGACACGGUGGCGGCAGCGGCCAGGGCGGCGUAGUCUGUCAGCGUGGCUGCGGCGGUGGCGUACUUGAGCAGGUUGGGGGCGCCUGCAAUGUUGACGGCGUCCCCGGCGGCGAACUGGUCCACGGUGGCGGUGACCAGCUGCGUUUCGGCGUCAUAGACGCAGCUGCUGAUGGUGCGCGUUGGUGUGAAGGCCAGGAAGUUGGCGCAGGUGUUGCCGGUGGUGAUGGUGCUGGGCGCCGGCAGCUUGAUCUCCACCUGGUUGGAGGCGAUGGCCUUGGCGGACACAAUGCUCUGGCCCGGCGUGACCACGUCGUACACAGGAAUGGAGCCGGUGACGUACAGCGGGCCGGUGUUGUCAGAGCCACCGAAGAGCUGCAGCUUGGUCGCGUCGGCGCUGCUGGUCGCAACCACCACCACGGACACACCUGCAGAAACGGGAGGCCGAUUCAGGCAUUUGGAAGGCAGGCAUAAGGCAGGCAUACGGCGUCAGCUACCACCUUCAGCAGGAAACCCGCUUCUGUACUCACCCUUGCCGGUCGUGAAGUCGGAGGCGCCCAGGGCCUGGUUCAGGGUCAGCGUCAGGACGGCUCCGUUGGCGUCGCUUGAGAUGGAGCAAGCGCCCGUGUUGGCCUGGGUCUUGUCAGUCGCGUCGUCCACGCGGACCUUGAUGCCGGUUGUCGCGCAGUUAACAGUGCCCAGGUUGCUGGUGAGGGGCAGCUGCAUCUUGAUGACCGCCGCGGAGGCGAUGGUGGUCGCGACGGCCGAAGUGAUGGCAGGCCGGAUCAGCAGGGCAUCGGGCAGUGGCGCAAAGGCCAGGCGGUUGGCGGCGGUGGCCGAGUCGGCCUUGAGCAGGCUCUGGCCGGCCUUGAUGUUGAUCAGGUCCUUGACCGCGUACGUGUUGGCGUUGGUGGUGGAGGCGGCGGCGGCGGCCAGUGUCAGGUAGAAGGUCUGCUUGUCGGCGCCCAGGUAGCAGGCGGAGAAGACCGCCGCGGUCUUGGGCGUGGUGGUGCCGGUGGCGUACAGCUGGAAGAUGUUGUUGCAGUCGGCGGGGGACAGGCCGGAGCUGGGCACGGAGGCGGCCACGGGCAGCGUCACCUGGAGCGACUUGGGGCCAGUCAGGGUGGCGGAGCUGAUGGAGGGGUAGAUUACGACGGCACCGCUGGGCUUGGUGGUGUACAGAAGAGUGAUGGCAGCUGUGGGCUUCAGGUAGUUGGUCGCGGCGGCGGCGGCCUGGUCCGCGGCCACCGACAGGGUGGUGCCGGGCACCCAGUUCGCGGUGGCCAGAGUCACGGUGGUGGUGUACGGUGCAGUGAAAUCAGAGCCCGGGUUGCUGCAGCCGGCAAUGGUCGCAGUGCCGCCAGUGAGGCUGAAGAUUGUCGAGCAGUCCGCAGGAGAAGCGAUGUCAUCAUCGCAGGUGUCGCCGGUGGUGCCCUUGGAGCAACCGGUGAAGCUCCCAGUGCAAGUGGGAACCACCAGGCCGGUGCCGCCACAAGAGAAGGUUAUUGCGCAAUUUGCGGUGCCAGUGAAGGGGCUCUUGCAAGUGGGGGCGGUGGAUGCAGUGCAGGUAGGUCCGGUAGCCGAGACGCAAGCGAACUUUCCACUGGAACUACAUGUUGGCAUGCCAGAUAUCCAGCCUGUGCAGAGCGCUGCGUCACUGACGGCUGUUGCCGUCAUUGUUGAAGACGUGUAGCAAGUGGGGUCCAGGUCGAUGCUUGAAGCACUAUCAUCACAGUUGUUGCCAUUUGCUGCGCUGAAAGCCGAGCCACUGGCACAUCGUGCCGCAGUAGUCAAGGAGCUGCUGUAGCACACAGCGGAGAUGCCCGCACCACACGCAGCUGUGCCGCCGUCAGUUGUUGCUGCAGCACACCCGGGUCCGUUUCCAGCAGUGGCAAUGGAGCCUGGAGAUCCACCAGUGAUGCACGCCGCGGUUGUGCUGGCGGGGCAGGUAACGGUUGGCGCUGCGCACGUCAGGCCAACCGUCGGGUCAGUUGCCGUGCAAGUGUAGGUGCCAGCAGCCGAACAAGCUGGAGAGCCGGAUUGGCAGGUAGCGGUUCCGCUACUGCAAGUGACGGCACCGCCUGUGCAUGUCGGAGCACCCUUGAUGAUCUUGCUCUGAAUAGGCAGAGCCACAACAAUGGUCCGAGGUCCAGUGGCGACGGCUGACACGAAGGUGGGCUUGAUGGUAACGGUGCUGGCUGCACCAAUGGCUGUGCCUGACGCGCUGCCCGCUUUAAUCAGUCCCGCCGCGUUAGCGAGUGACACCGCGCCCGCAACAUAGCCGGCUGUCAGUGUGAUCUGCAGGAUGCUGUUGGGGCUGGAGGUGGUGCCGAUGAGCUUGCAGGAGGCGGCGGUGUUGGCGGUGGAGAAGGUCACGGGCGAGCAGCCGCUGGAGAUGUCGGCCAUGUAGCUGGACAUGGGCAGCGUCACCUCCAGCACGUUGGUGGCGACGGCGGUGGCGGUCAUGAUGCUGCUGCCCCAGGUGGUGGCGCCGGCGUUCAGGGACUUGGCGGUGCCAGUGGCCAUGGGCGCCCAGGCGGUGCUGCCCACCGUGAGGGCCGUCUGGGCGGCCUUGAAGUCCACCUUCCAGGCGGUGGCGGUCAGGCUGGCGCUGACAGUCACGGUCAGGUAGAUGCCGGUGCCGUCCAGGGCCAGGCUGCAGCCAGACUCCGCGGGGCCAUUGUUGUUGUCGGUGACGGACACAAUGCUCGAGCAGGUGCCGGCGGCCAGGGUACUGGCGUAAGGCAGCACCACCACAAACUUCUUGUCGUCGAUGGCGUAGGCGCCGGUCAGGUAGGCAGGCUGGAUGUUGAUGGCGGCGGUGGCCGCGUAGAUCUUGCUGCCCGUGGUGGUUGUCAGGGCAUUCUGAGCGCCCUUGAGCGUCACCGUGUCGGAGGCGAGCAAGGCCUCGUUGGUGGUGCCGGUCACGGUGGUGGCGGACGCGACGCUGCAGACGCCGUUGAAGGUCUUCAUGGCGCCGUUGGCCGCCUUGAUCUCAAUGAUGUCGCUGCAGGUGGGGUUGCCGCCAGAAGUGACAGCGUAGGGCAGCGUCAGCGUGAACGUGUUGGCACCGCUGAUGACGGCCGAAGUCAGGUAGCCAGGCAGGACCGAGCUGGCCGCAGACAGGGCAGCAAUGAUGGUGCCAGUGGUGCCGGCACCGCCUAAGAUCUUCACGCUGGCGCUGGAGGCAACCGCAGUGAACUGCACGGUGGUUGUGCCGGGCGUGUAGGUGGAGGUGGUGGUGAUGGUCAGCACGGUGCCGGACAGUGCGCACGAGCCGGUGGCCGCCAGGGUACCAGACGCGACGGUGAGCAGUGUGUCGCAGUCGGUCUUGUCCAGCGAGGCGACAGAGACGCCGGCCUUAAUCAGGGUGAUGGGCACGGGGAGGGUAACCUUGAUCUCCGUGGCCUUGGUGGCGAUGGACGAGGUCACGUAGCCCAGAGCAAUGGGCGUGGCAGUGGUAGCCUGGACGUAGGGGGCGUUGCCACCAGCGCUGCCGAUGAGCAGGACGGUGUUGCCGGACUUGAUGCGGACCGUGUCGCCGGGAGCGAAGGACUCGGUGGCGGCAAGAUUGACGGUCAGCAGGGUGGUAGCCAGGGUGCAGGGCGUGCCGGAGUCCAGGGUGCGGGGCUUGGUGGCGUCGCCGCCGUUCAGCACCUCCACAAUGGUGUCGCAGGUGGCCUUUGUUAAUGUGGCACCGUUGACCGUGGAGGUGAAGGGCAGGGUCACUACAAUUGAGGUGGCCGAGCGGGCCGCAGCCGACGUCAGGUACGCGGGGCUGAUGGGCGCAGCCGUGCCGGCCUUGUAGGCGGGGCCGGUAGUGCCGGUGCCCGAGACCAGGGUGGUCUGGCCACCGCUGUUGAUGGUGACGGUGGUCUGGUCCGUGAUGGCGGAGUUUAGCGUGAGGCUCAGGACGGCGCCGGUGAUGACGCAGUUGGUGCCGGACUUGACAGUCUUGCUGUUGGUAAAGGUGAGGAUGGUGUUGCAGACGGUAUCCGAGACGGACAGCACCGCGGAGCCGCUGACCACAAAGGUGCUGGCCGCGGGCAGGGUGAUGAGGAUGGUGUCGCCUGCGGACGCGACCGCCUUGUACAGGUUGGGCACGAUGACGGCGGCGGUGGCCAGCGCCUUGUAGGCGGGAGCGGUGUUGGCGCUGCCGGCCAGCAGCAGGGCGUUGGUGUCCUUGAAGUUGAAGGUGUCGCCGCCAGUGUAAACAUCGCUGUUGUUGCCCAGCAGCUUCACGGUCAGGGUGGUGCCGGCAAGCGAGCACGAGGCGAGGCCCUUGGCGGUGGUGCCGGCCUUGACCUCCAGCACGGUGGCGCACUGCGCGGCGGUCAGGGUGCUGCCCAGGGAAGAGCCGUCCGCAGCAAAGAGACCGCUGGUGACGGGCAGGGUCACGACAACGGUGUCGGGGGCGGUGGCGACCACGUCUGACGACAGGUAAGCGGGGUUGAUGGUGAUGGUGCGCGGUUGGUAGGCGGGGCCGGAGGAGCUGCCCGCAAGCAGCAUGGUGUUGGUCGUCAGCACGUUGAUCGUUUGGCCUGCAACAGGUGACAUGCGACAAUGAUGUCCGAUUAAUGGGGGCAUUAACGGGAGUUACGUAACCCACGAGUGCAAGGCAGGUUGCUGCAACAACAGUGUGCAUAUACGCCGGCCUGUACACCCUGGCCCUCACCUGGCGCAUAGGUCGUGCCGGCGAGCGUGACAAUCAGCUGGCUGCUGCUAGUGGUGUUGAGGUCGCAGGCGUUGCCACUGCCAACCAGGGAACCACUGCUCAUGGCCAGGACAGUGUCGCAGUCCGCCUUGACAAGGCCCGCGGUCGCGGAACCGGACUUGACGAAAGUGCUGGCCGCAGGCAGGGACACAACCACGACCGAGGUGGAGGUGGCCUUGGCGCUCACGAAGGUGGGGUUGAGGAUGUUGGCAGGCGAGGUGGCCAGGGGCUGGAAGAAAAGCGCGGAGGCGCCGGUGCCCAGGCGCAGAGCCGUGUUGGUGGACUUGACGUUCAGGCGGUCACCUAGCACCAUACAGCAAGAGUACCAUGAGUUAGAUACGUGACAAGUCAAUGGAGAAUGGCCUGGGCCUGAAGCCUUUGUGCAAGUAACCGCACAUCGCCACGGCUCAUGACUCACCAGGAACAAAGGCGCUGGCCAGGUCCAGGGUCAGGGUGGUGCCGGAGGCGGUACAGGCGGCGAAGGGGCUGGACUUGCCGGACAGGUCUAGCGCGGCAUUGCAGGCGUCGGCGGUGAGCGGGUUGGGCACCGGCGAGGACAUGGCGGCGGGCAGGGUCACCAGCAGGCGGGUGCUGGUGGUGACCUGCACAGCGCCGAUGGUGGGCUGGAUGGUGGCGGCGGUGGCGCCGGACACGGGCUGGUACAGGGCGCCGGUGGACGAGGUGCCGCGCAGCGCUGAGUUGAGGGCGUUGAUGUUGAUGGUGUCGCCAAUGGUGUAGGAGCCGCUCAGCGUCACGGUCAGCAGGGUGCCGUUGUUGCUCAGGGCGCAAUUGGAUGUGGCGGCGGUGAGCACCAGGAAGGAGCAGCUGGAGCCGGUCAGGUCGGAGGCCACGGGCAGCGGCACGAUGAUGGUGGUGGGCGAGGUGAUGUGCGCGCUGGUGAUGGCGGGCGACACCUCGGUGGCGCUGCUGAGGGCGGGGUAGCUGGGGCCGUUGGCGGCGCCCAGCACCUUGAGCAGCGUCUGGUCAGACCGGAUGUUCAGCUUGUCGGUGGAGACCCAGGAGCUGGUGGUCAGGGUCACGGUCAGGCCGUCCGUCGACAGCGUGCAGGCGGAGAAGGGGCUGGCGCGCGCGGUGCCGGAAGAGUUAAACAGCGUAAACACGUUGUUGCAGGAGGAGGAGAAGCCGUCCACUGCAGCCGCGGCCACCGACAGCUUGACGAUGAUGGUGUUGGCAGCUGUCAGGUAGGCGCCGGCAAGCUUGGCCUCGCUGAUGGUGAGGGCGGAGCCGCGGGGCACAAAGGCUGGGCUGUCGCUAGAGCCAGAGCCGGCGGCGAGCAGGAAUAGCUGGCUGCUCUUCACGUUGAUGGUGGUGACACCCGAGGUGACGGAGCCCGCGCUGGCAAGCAGGAAGCUGAUGCCGGUGCCGUCGGCGCUGAGCGUGCAGUUGGUGAAGGGCGUGGCGAGCCCGGACACGUCGAAGGCGCCGUUGCAGAUGGACUGGUUGAAGGCGGAGGCGGAAGUGGGUGCCGAUAGCGACACAAACACGUUGGUGUUGCUGAUCAGCGCGGUGGACACGACAGUGGGCGUGAUGACGAUGGCGGUGCCGGCGUGGACAAAGGCCGGGCCUGAAGCGGACAGGGAGCCCAGGAAGGCGCUGUUGCCGGACUUGACGUUGAUGCGGUCACCCGCGGUGUAGGAGGCCGUGGAGGCAAUGGUGAGCGUCAGCGUGGUGCCGCCAGAGAUGGAGCAGGCGCUGAAGGGAGCAGUCCUGGACGCGCCGGCAGCAGAGACCAGGUCAAACGCGGCGUUGCAGACGGUGCCGUUGUUGGUGGAGGCCGGCAGGUUGGCGGCGUACGGCAGGGCCACAACAAUGGUGGAGGAGGCGGUCAGCAUGGCGGUGGUGGCGGCCGUGAGGAUGGGGUUGAUGGGCGUCAGCAGCACGCCAUAGGCGGUGGUGUUGGCGAACGUCAGCUUGGUCUGGCCCGAC
Molecule: long non-coding RNA, 11573 nt
Filed under: Chlamydomonas reinhardtii
Lineage: Eukaryota; Viridiplantae; Chlorophyta; Chlorophyceae; Chlamydomonadales; Chlamydomonadaceae
Description: long non-coding RNA (CREI_LNC000746)
Source: RNAcentral